UGAUAUUUCUAAUGUUUUAUUUGAAGAAAGUUAUGAAGGCAUCAACAACAAUCAAUUAACAAGGUGGUCUUCUUGCCUUGGUAUAGAAUACUAUCAAUGGGUGAAAGGAUCUAUCAACCAUCAUCAAAGAGAAAAAAAAUUUAAAAUAUAGAAAAAAUAUGAUUUGUUGCAUCUUAAAUUUUCUAAUUAAAACCUUAAUUGGAUUCAAUCAAAUCUUAUGCCAAACCCUAAAUCCUAAGCAAAUCCUAAAUCCUAAAUCCUAAACAAAUCCUAAAUUUUAAAUCUUGAAUAAAUCCUAAAUCCUAAAUCUUAAAUCAAAUCCUAAAUUCUAAUUCAAUUCUAAAUCUUAAUCAAAUACUAAUAAAAUUCUAAUUAAAUCCUAAAUCCUAAUUUAAUCCUAACUAAAACCUAACUAACUCAACCUAAUCCUAGUAUAAUUAAAAAUCUCAAUAUCUAUUGAUUAAAC
Molecule: long non-coding RNA, 466 nt
Filed under: Physcomitrium patens
Lineage: Eukaryota; Viridiplantae; Streptophyta; Bryopsida; Funariales; Funariaceae
Description: long non-coding RNA (PPAT_LNC013988)
Source: RNAcentral